GGGCGAUUAGCUCAGCUGGUCAGAGCGCCACGUUUACACCGUGGAAGUCGCAGGUUCGAGCCCUGCAUCGCCCA
This 74-nucleotide transfer RNA is filed under the name Chloroflexota bacterium. RNAcentral describes it as "tRNA-Val". It matches the Rfam family "tRNA". Rfam says of the family: Transfer RNA (tRNA) molecules are approximately 80 nucleotides in length. Their secondary structure includes four short double-helical elements and three loops (D, anti-codon, and T loops). The record is from RNAcentral. Lineage: Bacteria; Bacillati; Chloroflexota.